This 464-nucleotide ribosomal RNA is filed under the name Vreelandella stevensii. Its description in RNAcentral is "partial 16S ribosomal RNA". It matches the Rfam family "Bacterial small subunit ribosomal RNA", at positions 338 to 795 of the family's 1533-position model. Lineage: Bacteria; Pseudomonadati; Pseudomonadota; Gammaproteobacteria; Oceanospirillales; Halomonadaceae. The record is from RNAcentral.
CCUACGGGUGGCUGCAGUGGGGAAUAUUGGACAAUGGGGGCAACCCUGAUCCAGCCAUGCCGCGUGUGUGAAGAAGGCCCUCGGGUUGUAAAGCACUUUCAGUGAGGAAGAACGCCUGGUGGUUAAUACCCAUCAGGAAAGACAUCACUCACAGAAGAAGCACCGGCUAACUCCGUGCCAGCAGCCGCGGUAAUACGGAGGGUGCGAGCGUUAAUCGGAAUUACUGGGCGUAAAGCGCGCGUAGGUGGCUUGAUAAGCCGGUUGUGAAAGCCCCGGGCUCAACCUGGGAACGGCAUCCGGAACUGUCAAGCUAGAGUGCAGGAGAGGAAGGUAGAAUUCCCGGGGUAGCGGUGAAAUGCGUAGAGAUCGGGAGGAAUACCAGUGGCGAAGGCGGCCUUCUGGACUGACACUGACACUGAGGUGCGAAAGCGUGGGUAGCAAACAGGAUUAGAUACCCGUGAGUC